AAAAUGACUCUCGGCAACGGAUAUCUCGGCUCUCGCAUCGAUGAAAAACGUAGCGAAAUGCGAUACUUGGUGUGAAUUGCAGAAUCCCGUGAACCAUCGAGUCUUUGAACGCAAGUUGCGCCCCAAGCCUUUAGGCCGAGGGCACGCCUGCCUGGGUGUCACACA
RNAcentral lists this ribosomal RNA (165 nucleotides) under Oxalis acetosella (European wood-sorrel). RNAcentral describes it as "5.8S ribosomal RNA". It matches the Rfam family "5.8S ribosomal RNA". From Rfam's summary of the family: 5.8S ribosomal RNA (5.8S rRNA) is a component of the large subunit of the eukaryotic ribosome. It is transcribed by RNA polymerase I as part of the 45S precursor that also contains 18S and 28S rRNA. The record is from RNAcentral. Lineage: Eukaryota; Viridiplantae; Streptophyta; Magnoliopsida; Oxalidales; Oxalidaceae.